CCUGAGAGGGUGAACGGACACACUGGAACUGAGACACGGUCCAGACUCCUACGGGAGGCAGCAGUAGGGAAUAUUGCUCAAUGGGGGAAACCCUGAAGCAGCAACGCCGCGUGGAGGAUGAAGGUUUUAGGAUUGUAAACUCCUUUUGUUAGAGAAGAUAAUGACGGUAUCUAACGAAUAAGCACCGGCUAACUCCGUGCCAGCAGCCGCGGUAAUACGGAGGGUGCAAGCGUUACUCGGAAUCACUGGGCGUAAAGAGCGCGUAGGCGGGAUAGUCAGUCAGGUGUGAAAUCCUAUGGCUUAACCAUAGAACUGCAUUUGAAACUACUAUUCUAGAGUGUGGGAGAGGUAGGUGGAAUUCUUGGUGUAGGGGGUAAAAUCA
Molecule: ribosomal RNA, 382 nt
Filed under: Helicobacter pylori
Lineage: Bacteria; Pseudomonadati; Campylobacterota; Epsilonproteobacteria; Campylobacterales; Helicobacteraceae
Description: bacterial SSU rRNA
Rfam family: Bacterial small subunit ribosomal RNA
Source: RNAcentral